GAUGAACGCUGGCGGCGUGCCUAAUACAUGCAAGUCGAGCGAACAGAUAAGGAGCUUGCUCCUUUGACGUUAGCGGCGGACGGGUGAGUAACACGUGGGUAACCUACCUAUAAGACUGGGAUAACUUCGGGAAACCGGAGCUAAUACCGGAUAACAUUUGGAACCGCAUGGUUCUAAAGUGAAAGAUGGUUUUGCUAUCACUUCUAGAUGGAUCCGCGCCGUAUUAGCUAGUUGGUAAGGUAACGGCUUACCAAGGCGACGAUACGUAUCCGACCUGCGAGGGUGAUCGGCCACACUGGAACUGAGACACGGUCCAUGCGCCUACGGUAGGCAGCAGUAGGCAACGUGCCGCAGUGGGCGAAAACCUGACGGAGCGGCGCCGCGUGAGUGAUGAAGGGUUUCGGCUCGUAAAACUCUGUUAUUAGGGAAGAACAGAUGUGUAAGUAGCUGUACACUGCGUGACGGUACUGAAUCAGAAAGCCACGGCUAACUACGUG
Molecule: ribosomal RNA, 497 nt
Filed under: uncultured bacterium
Lineage: Bacteria
Description: partial 16S ribosomal RNA
Rfam family: Bacterial small subunit ribosomal RNA
Source: RNAcentral